UGAUAGGCUGCAGGUGUAAAGGCGGUAACGUCAAAGCUGAGCAGUACUAAUUACCCGUGAUCUUUCCG
Molecule: ribosomal RNA, 68 nt
Filed under: Bacteroidales bacterium
Lineage: Bacteria; Pseudomonadati; Bacteroidota; Bacteroidia; Bacteroidales
Description: partial 23S ribosomal RNA
Source: RNAcentral